AUUGAACGCUGGCGGCAUGCCUUACACAUGCAAGUCGAACGGCAGCACGGGUGCUUGCACCUGGUGGCGAGUGGCGAACGGGUGAGUAAUACAUCGGAACGUACCUUAUCGUGGGGGAUAACGCAGCGAAAGUUGCGCUAAUACCGCAUACGCCCUGAGGGGGAAAGCGGGGGACCGUAAGGCCUCGCGCGAUUAGAGCGACCGAUGUCUGAUUAGCUUGUUGGUGAGGUAAAAGCUCACCAAGGCGAUGAUCAGUAGCUGGUCUGAGAGGACGAUCAGCCACACUGGGACUGAGACACGGCCCAGACUCCUACGGGAGGCAGCAGUGGGGAAUUUUGGACAAUGGGGGCAACCCUGAUCCAGCAAUGCCGCGUGAGUGAAGAAGGCCUUCGGGUUGUAACGCUCUUUUGUCAGGGAAGAAACAGCAGCUCUAACACAGUCUGCGAAUGACGGUACCUGAAGAAUAAGCACCGGCUAACUACGUGCCAGCAGCCGCGGUAA
Molecule: ribosomal RNA, 501 nt
Filed under: uncultured bacterium
Lineage: Bacteria
Description: partial 16S ribosomal RNA
Rfam family: Bacterial small subunit ribosomal RNA
Source: RNAcentral